CAACUCUUAGCGGUGGAUCACUCGGCUCGU
Molecule: non-coding RNA, 30 nt
Filed under: Gallus gallus (chicken)
Lineage: Eukaryota; Metazoa; Chordata; Aves; Galliformes; Phasianidae
Also listed under: 2 other names
Source: RNAcentral